This 444-nucleotide ribosomal RNA is filed under the name uncultured bacterium. Its description in RNAcentral is "bacterial SSU rRNA". It matches the Rfam family "Bacterial small subunit ribosomal RNA", at positions 28 to 484 of the family's 1533-position model. The record is from RNAcentral.
GAUGAACGCUAGCGGGAGGCCUAAUACAUGCAAGUCGAGCGGUCAGCAAUGAUAGCGGCAGACGGGUGCGUAACGCGUAUGAAACUUGCCCCACACAGGAGGAUAGCCUUGGGAAACUGAGAGUAACCCUCCAUAGUCUUGAGUUGCCGCAUGGUAGCUUAAGUAAAACUUCGGUGGUGUGGGAUAGUCGUGCGUCCGAUUAGGUAGUUGGUAGUGUAAUGGACUACCAAGCCGACGAUCGGUAGCUGGUCUGAGAGGAUGAUCAGCCACACGGGCACUGAGACACGGGCCCGACUCCUACGGGAGGCAGCAGUAAGGAAUAUUGGACAAUGGACGGAAGUCUGAUCCAGCCAUCCCGCGUGGAGGAAUAAGGCCCUAUGGGUUGUAAACUCCUUUAGCAGGGGAAUAAAAGGUACAUUUAUGAUCAAUUGAAGGUACCCUGAG